This 253-nucleotide unclassified non-coding RNA is filed under the name uncultured Planctomycetia bacterium. Its description in RNAcentral is "contains 16S-23S intergenic spacer region". It matches the Rfam family "Bacterial small subunit ribosomal RNA", at positions 524 to 776 of the family's 1533-position model. The record is from RNAcentral. Lineage: Bacteria; Pseudomonadati; Planctomycetota; Planctomycetia.
GACGAACCGUGCGAACGUUGUUCGGAAUCACUGGGCUUAAAGGGCGCGUAGGCGGAUGGGCAAGUCAGAAGUGAAAGCCCCCAGCUCAACUGGGGAAGUGCCUCUGAUACUGUCUGUCUCGAGGAAGGUAGGGGCACGUGGAACUUCCGGUGGAGCGGUGAAAUGCGUAGAGAUCGGAAGGAACACCGGUGGCGAAGGCGACGUGCUGGACCUUUUCUGACGCUGAGGCGCGAAAGCCAGGGUAGCGAAGAGG